RNAcentral lists this non-coding RNA (31 nucleotides) under Mus musculus (house mouse). Lineage: Eukaryota; Metazoa; Chordata; Mammalia; Rodentia; Muridae. The record is from RNAcentral.
UAUGAUUUCAGGCCUGACCACUUGGUAUUGU